Molecule: small nuclear RNA, 112 nt
Organism: Phodopus roborovskii (desert hamster)
Lineage: Eukaryota; Metazoa; Chordata; Mammalia; Rodentia; Cricetidae
Source: RefSeq, a predicted model, not a curated record
GUGCUCGCUUCAGUAGCACAUAUACUAAAAAAAAAUUGGAGUAGUACCGAGAAUAUCAGCAUGGCCCAUACACAAGGAUGCCACGAAAAUUCAUGAAGCAUUCCAUAUUUUG